RNAcentral lists this transfer RNA (82 nucleotides) under Echinostoma caproni. It matches the Rfam family "tRNA". Rfam says of the family: Transfer RNA (tRNA) molecules are approximately 80 nucleotides in length. Their secondary structure includes four short double-helical elements and three loops (D, anti-codon, and T loops). The record is from Rfam by way of RNAcentral. Lineage: Eukaryota; Metazoa; Platyhelminthes; Trematoda; Plagiorchiida; Echinostomatidae.
GGCCUUGUAGCUCAGCUGGUACAGCGUGAGCGUACAAAGUGCGAGUGACGUUUAGGUGUGGGUUCGAGUCCCACCGAGGCUA